UCUGUAUCAUAUAAUUUUAAUGCAGCUACUACUCAGCCAUUGAGCUCCGUCCACUAAUACAUAGUAAUUGGAUUCGUCAAUUAGUAUACAACUUUCGUUAGGAUGCAUCUCCGAUUUACAGAUUAGACACUUUUGUAAGCAACGAGUGAGUGACUCCGUGCGAACGAAAUCGAAAUCUUUUUGUAAAUAAUUUUAAAGGUGUAUAAAAUCAGUAUUGCUAAAAUUUAAAUAUCGCGAUACCUCUUAAUGCUUCCAAUUGUACGUUAAAAAAUUAAAAUGUUAAAACAGU
Molecule: long non-coding RNA, 289 nt
Organism: Aricia agestis (brown argus)
Lineage: Eukaryota; Metazoa; Arthropoda; Insecta; Lepidoptera; Lycaenidae
Exons: 3
Source: RefSeq, a predicted model, not a curated record